CCCACAGAGGCAGCGCACACAGCUGUGUAUUAACACAUGGGAGGUAGUUACAGUUAGAAGAAACACACUGACACAUCUGUUUACUCUGAGCCUACGUAAAUCCCUUGGUAAUUAGCAUCUCAACCAGCUGAGAGUGCUGAGAUUACAAGCGUGCAGUACUACACCCAAGACUGAUGGCCUUGAUGAGGCAGAAGUUGAAAACUUCACUCUGAAAACAAAUUUACAUUCAACUUCCCACGAAACACCAUAGUUAACACUUAAAGGUCAGAGACGUGUCUUACUGAAGUGGGUAGUGGUCAAUGCAGAGACUUAAACCUGCUCAGCAUGCUGAGAAUAAGUGACUGUGGGGGCUCAGCCCUAGACGGGACACCUGUCUGCAUCAAACACCAUCCCU
Molecule: long non-coding RNA, 394 nt
Organism: Meriones unguiculatus (Mongolian gerbil)
Lineage: Eukaryota; Metazoa; Chordata; Mammalia; Rodentia; Muridae
Exons: 3
Source: RefSeq, a predicted model, not a curated record